RNAcentral lists this long non-coding RNA (327 nucleotides) under Drosophila guanche. The record is from RNAcentral. Lineage: Eukaryota; Metazoa; Arthropoda; Insecta; Diptera; Drosophilidae.
GUUUUCACAUCUACAUACGUGUCCCGACUUCAAGGCUUUGUGAAGUUUUCUCACUUUGUCAAAUGGUUUCUGCACUGCAACUCGUAACCAAAUAUGUAUGUUGCUCUCACAUCACAGGACAAAGUCGACGACAGUUCUCUUUUGGUUUGGCUUCUAUGAUCCUCUCGAAGCGUCCUCUCUCACAUGCACGAGCACAGCAAUGGAAUAUUAAAUUCAUUCAAAUCAAAAUGAUAGAAAUACACUGAGAAUAUUUUGGGAUCCAACAUACAAUACUGCAUACACUUUUUGAACAGAAUCAGCGCAGAGCAUUUAUUAAUUUUAUCAUCU